CAGCACCUCAAGUGGUCAGGAUGAUUAUUGGGCCUAAAGCAUCCGUAGCCGGCUCUGUAAGUUUUCGGUUAAAUCUGUACGCUCAACGUACAGGCUGCCGGGAAUACUGCAGAGCUAGGGAGUGGGAGAGGUAGACGGUACUCGGUAGGAAGGGGUAAAAUCCUUUGAUCUAUUGAUGACCACCUGUGGCGAAGGCGGUCUACCAGAACACGUCCGACGGUGAGGGAUGAAAGCUGGGGGAGCAAACCGGAUUAGAGACCCGAAUAGUCC
RNAcentral lists this ribosomal RNA (270 nucleotides) under uncultured archaeon. Its description in RNAcentral is "partial 16S ribosomal RNA". It matches the Rfam family "Archaeal small subunit ribosomal RNA", at positions 477 to 747 of the family's 1478-position model. The record is from RNAcentral.